This 119-nucleotide ribosomal RNA is filed under the name Bacillus subtilis. Its description in RNAcentral is "partial 16S ribosomal RNA". It matches the Rfam family "Bacterial small subunit ribosomal RNA", at positions 1 to 115 of the family's 1533-position model. Lineage: Bacteria; Bacillati; Bacillota; Bacilli; Caryophanales; Bacillaceae. The record is from RNAcentral.
UUUAUCGGAGAGUUUGAUCCUGGCUCAGGACGAACGCUGGCGGCGUGCCUAAUACAUGCAAGUCGAGCGGACAGAUGGGAGCUUGCUCCCWKMUGUUAGCGGCGGACGGGUGAGUAACA